Molecule: non-coding RNA, 1261 nt
Organism: Pelobates cultripes (western spadefoot toad)
Lineage: Eukaryota; Metazoa; Chordata; Amphibia; Anura; Pelobatidae
Source: the annotation of a GenBank genome assembly
CUUUAUUUCCCUUAGCAGCAAAGAAAAAAAUACAAAGAAAUGCAUGUAAGGCGCAGAACUGCAUUGAAACAACAAUAACCAUUCAUAAACUAGUAUACUAGGAAUGCGGAGGACAAAAAAUCCUGUCAACAACGCCAGACAAGUGCAGAGAUAAGAUUUGUCUGUUGACCAUCCAUCACCUGUGGAAAUGGUCUUGCAUUGCCCACCCCAACCAUGUAAGCUCAUGUUGGCUUCUAUAACAAGGUUUGGUUCUGAAGAUGGCUCAUCGAUUCCAUACAUCCAUAUGAUAGAGCGACCACAUGAAUUCUUCCCUGGAGUCUGCACUGAACAGGAUAUAGGUUUCGUAGGAGUGAUCCUAACACAAAUAAGAAGCCGUGGUUGAAGUGCUCAAUAGUGAAGAGGAACUAGGAAAAUCGAUUGAAUAGUCAAUGCAAGGAGACGGAUCAUGCAGAAGAGUCGUCUGAUAGAAAGCGCAUUGUAUCUGAGAAAGCGUCUGAUUUAUUUCCUGAUCAAUAAUACCUUGUCCUUUGGUAAAUGUAAAGUUUUAUGUACAUCAUUCACCAGAAAUUCUAGAAAUUCUAUAGUCGUGGGUGAAGAAUUUAUCAGAAAACCCAGUUUCUAAAGAAGAUGAACUGUCCACGAUAAAUACAGAGUUGAGAUUGUAAUCGAAAGAGCAUUAAUAUAUUGUCUACGCAGGUCAUUAACCAGACAACUCGGCUCUGUAGGAACAAUAUUACUGGAUUGAUGACCAUGUUGAAGCACCAAUGUGUUGAUGACAUGUCGAAUGUAAGAUGUGAAUCUCCACUUUUUUCCUGCCAAUGGAAUUGGAGGAAGUCCCGAUGGUCUACUGAGAUUGAAACCAUCAGAUAAGCAUGCUUUAGAUAAAAAGAUCUCCGACGCAGUGAAUGUCCUAAUUUUAAAGUUUUGAUACCGGACAAAUGCAUUCAGUGGCUUUAAAAUUAUAACAGGACAAAGUCUACUGCACUUUUUUGGAACCAGAAAGUUUCCCCAUUAUAGUUACUGAAUGGCAUUUUUUUUUUUAGAACAAUUGGACAAAUUCAUGUGCAAUCAAGUCUUGAUUGUUUUGAGCCAGAGGGACUCACUGUGGGAUUGCAUAGUUAACUAAUCAAAUCCAAAACUGCAAUUCAUAGGAGUGGAAUAACUAAAUAAUUAUCUUGGUAUGAGAAAAAACAAGAGGGUAGGUAAUUAAAUAUGUCUACUCAAUAUCAACUCCUAAUCAGGAAAAAAAACUAUGUAAAUA